This is a long non-coding RNA of Rhodamnia argentea, 410 nucleotides long. RefSeq lists it as uncharacterized. The transcript has 2 exons. The record is from RefSeq and is a predicted model, not a curated record. Lineage: Eukaryota; Viridiplantae; Streptophyta; Magnoliopsida; Myrtales; Myrtaceae.
CAACCAUCUGCACCGAAAAGACUAUUCCAUGCUUCCGUAUUGUAGCAAUCUGCUACGGCUGGAAUAGACUGCCUAAAAUUCCCAUUGUGAAACCUCCUAACACGACAGAUAUGAGUGUGCACUAGAAAGAGAGAGAGAGAGAGAGAGAGAGGGAGAGGGAGGGAGAUUGCAAGAGUAACCUGUAGAUAACCAGGAUUGGAAGCAAUUACAAACAGCUUCCCUACCUAUCACAGCAGAGAGUAAGUGGCCCGAGAUGUGUACAAUUAGUACACGAAUGUUGUCACUAAAUAGCCCUCUAUAUGUUACUGGGUUAUACAAGUUCUGUUACACAUCACCUGCCACAUGUUCGAAAGGUCGAACUACCCAAAACUUGACAAAUGACAAUUACAACUUCAAGACUGCUCUGCGUU